Molecule: transfer RNA, 70 nt
Filed under: Ceyx cyanopectus (Indigo-banded kingfisher)
Lineage: Eukaryota; Metazoa; Chordata; Aves; Coraciiformes; Alcedinidae
Description: tRNA-Lys
Source: RNAcentral
CAUUAAGAAGCUAUGCACUCAGCACUAGCCUUUUAAGCUAGAGAGAGGGGUCUGCUCGCCCCCUUAAUGA